This 1161-nucleotide long non-coding RNA is filed under the name Callithrix jacchus (white-tufted-ear marmoset). RNAcentral describes it as "lncRNA (ENSCJAG00000083469.1)". Lineage: Eukaryota; Metazoa; Chordata; Mammalia; Primates; Cebidae. The record is from RNAcentral.
AUGCUGGGGUGGUGCACAGGUGCACUAGAGUAUUAUACAGAUAUUCUGGGGUGGUGCACAGGUGCACUAGAGUAUUAUACAGGUAUGCUGGGGUGCACAGAUGCACUAGAAUAUUAUAUAAGUAUGCUGGGGUUGUGCAAAGGUGCACUAGAAUAUACAGGUAUGCUGGGGUUGUGCAAAGGUGCACUAGAAUAUUAUACAGGUAUGCUGGGGUUGUACACAGGUGCACUAGAAUAUUAUACAGGUAUGCUGGCGUGGUGCACAGGUGCACUAGAAUAUUAUACAGGUAUGCUGGGGUUGUACACAGGUGCACUAGAAUAUUAUACAGGUAUGCUGGUGUGGUGCACAGGUGCACUAGAAUAUUAUACAGGUAUGCUGGGGUUGUACACAGGUGCACUAGAAUAUUAUACAGGUAUGCUGACGUGGUGCACAGGUGCACUAGAAUAUUAUACAGGUAUGCUGGGGUUGUACACCGGUGCACUAGAAUAUUAUACAGGUAUGCUGGGGUUGUACACAGGUGCACUAGAAUAUUAUACAGGUAUGCUGGCGUGGUGCACAGGUGCACUAGAAUAUUAUACAGGUAUGCUGGGGUUGUACACAGGUGCACUAGAAUAUUAUACAGGUAUGCUGGCGUGGUGCACAGGUGCACUAGAAUAUUAUACAGGUAUGCUGGGGUUGUACACAGGUGCACUAGAAUAUUAUACAGGUAUGCUGACGUGGUGCACAGGUGCACUAGAAUAUGAUACAGGUAUGCUGGCGUGGUGCACAGGUGCACUAGAAUAUUAUACAGGUAUGCUGGGGUUGUACACAGGUGCACUAGAAUAUUAUACAGGUAUGCUGGUGUGUUGCACAGGUGCACUAGAAUAUUAUACAGGUAUGCUGGGGUUGUACACAGGUGCACUAGAAUAUUAUACAGGUAUGCUGGCGUGGUGCACAGGUGCACUAGAAUAUUAUACAGGUAUGCUGGGGUGGUGCACAGGUGCACUAGAAUAUUAUACAGGUAUGCUGGCAUGGUGCACAGGUGCACUAGAAUAUUAUAUAGGUAUGCUGGGGUUGUACACAGGUGCACUAGAAUAUGAUACAGGUAUGCUGGCAUGGUGCACAGGUGCACUAGAAUAUUAUACAGGUAUGCUGGGAUGGUGCCCAAGUGGACUAGGAUGA